CCAAUAGCGUAUAUUAAAGUUGUUGCAGUUAAAAAGCUCGUAGUUGAAUUUCGAGACCGGUUUAUUGGUCGUGCUUUUGUACGUACUGGUAUUAUUGGUUUCUCCUUUCUGACGAACUUUGAUGCCAUUAAUUUGGUGUUUUAGGGAAUCAGGACUGUUACUUUGAAAAAAUUAGAGUGUUUAAAGCAGGCUCACGCUUGAAUACAUUAGCAUGGAAUAACGGAAUAGGACGUUUGAUUCUAUUUUGUUGGUUUCUAGGAUCGACGUAAUGAUUAAUAGGGAUAGUUGGGGGCAUUAGUAUUCAAUUGUCAGAGGUGAAAUUCUUGGAUUUAUUGAAGACUAACUACUGCGAAAGCAUUUGCCAAGGAUGUUUUCAUUAAUCAAGAACGAAAGUUAGGGGAUCGAAGACGAUCAGAUACCGUCGUAGUCUUAACCAUAAACUAUGCCGACUAGGGAUCGGAUGAUGUUAAUUUUUUGAUGACUCAUUCGGCGCCUUACG
Molecule: ribosomal RNA, 499 nt
Filed under: uncultured Glomeromycotina
Lineage: Eukaryota; Fungi; Glomeromycota
Description: partial small subunit ribosomal RNA
Rfam family: Eukaryotic small subunit ribosomal RNA
Source: RNAcentral